UGCGGAGUGGGCAUGUCGCAUCACAAGGGCCACCCAGAACUGGCUCAACUCCCAUCAAGCCAAGUUCCCGGAGGAGAUCACCCAGCUCGUCAUGCUAGAGCACUUUUUCAAUGGGCUCCCCAACGACAAGGCGACGACGCAUUCGUAGGUAAUCCAUAUCACUUUCGAUGCCUCUUACUGCGCCUACCAUGGUGACCACGGGUAACAGGGAAUCAGGGUUCGAUUCUGGAGAGGGAGUCUGAGAAAUGGCAACCACAUGCAAGGAAGGCAGCAGUCGCGCAAAUGACCCACUCCCGACGUGGGAAGGUAGUGACG
Pelobates cultripes (western spadefoot toad) is the source of this 315-nucleotide non-coding RNA. NCBI's taxonomy places the organism in Eukaryota, Metazoa, Chordata, Amphibia, Anura, Pelobatidae. The record is from the annotation of a GenBank genome assembly.